Molecule: unclassified non-coding RNA, 332 nt
Filed under: soil metagenome
Description: partial contains 5.8S ribosomal RNA, internal transcribed spacer 2, and large subunit ribosomal RNA
Rfam family: 5.8S ribosomal RNA (bases 1-120)
Source: RNAcentral
GAUGAAGAACGUAGCGAAAUGCGAUACGUAAUGUGAAUUGCAGAUUUCAGUGAAUCAUCGAAUCUUUGAACGCACAUUGCGCCUGCUAGUAUUCUGGCGGGCAUGCCUGUUCGAGCGUCAUUUCAACCAUCAAGCCCUAGGCUUGCGUUGGAGCCCUGCGGCUGCCGCAGGCUCCCAAAUCCAGUGGCGGGCUCGUCGUCGUACCGAGUGCAGUAAACAUCCUCGCUCAGGGAACGUGACGGGUUCUUGCCGUGAAACCCCCCACAUAUCAAGGUUGACCUCGGAUCAGGUAGGAAUACCCGCUGAACUUAAGCAUAUCAAUAAGCGGAGGA